Molecule: ribosomal RNA, 253 nt
Filed under: uncultured bacterium
Lineage: Bacteria
Description: partial 16S ribosomal RNA
Rfam family: Bacterial small subunit ribosomal RNA
Source: RNAcentral
UACAGAGGUCCCAAGCGUUGUUCGGAUUUACUGGGCGUAAAGGGUGCGUAGGUGGCGAGGUAAGUUUGAUGUGAAAUCUCCGAGCUCAACUCGGAAAUGGCAUUGAAUACUAUCCCGCUUGAGGGUCGGAGGGGAGACUGGAAUUCUCGGUGUAGCAGUGAAAUGCGUAGAUAUCUGGAGGAACACCGGUGGCGAAGGCGGCAUCCUGGACCAACACUGACGCUGAGGAGCGAAAGCCAGGGGAGCAAACGGG